Molecule: ribosomal RNA, 502 nt
Filed under: uncultured bacterium
Lineage: Bacteria
Description: partial 16S ribosomal RNA
Rfam family: Bacterial small subunit ribosomal RNA
Source: RNAcentral
AUUGAACGCUGGCGGAAUGCUUUGCACAUGCAAGUCGAACGGCAGCACGGGUGCUUGCACCUGGUGGCGAGUGGCGAACGGGUGAGUAAUAUAUCAGAACGUAUCCAAUAAUGGGGGAUAACUAGCCGAAAGGUUAGCUAAUACCGCAUACGCCCUGAGGGGGAAAGCUGGGGAUCGUAAGACCUAGCGUUGAUGGAGCGGCCGAUAUCUGAUUAGCUAGUUGGUGGGGUAAGAGCCUACCAAGGCGACGAUCAGUAGCUGGUCUGAGAGGACGACCAGCCAAACUGGAACUGAGACACGGUCCAGACUCCUACGGGAGGCAGCAGUGGGGAAUUUUGGACAAUGGGGGAAACCCUGAUCCAGCCAUGCCGCGUGAGUGAAGAAGGCCUUCGGGUUGUAAAGCUCUUUCGGACAGAAAGAAAUCGCCAUCUCUAAUACAGGUGGUGGAUGACGGUACUGUAAGAAGAAGCACCGGCUAACUACGUGCCAGCAGCCGCCGUAA